This 492-nucleotide ribosomal RNA is filed under the name uncultured bacterium. RNAcentral describes it as "partial 16S ribosomal RNA". It matches the Rfam family "Bacterial small subunit ribosomal RNA", at positions 29 to 507 of the family's 1533-position model. The record is from RNAcentral.
AGUGAACGCUGGCGGUAGGCCUAACACAUGCAAGUCGAACGGCAGCACAGUAAGAGCUUGCUCCUACGGGUGGCGAGUGGCGGACGGGUGAGGAAUACAUCGGAAUCUACUUUUUCGUGGGGGAUAACGUAGGGAAACUGACGCUAAUACCGCAUACGACCUACGGGUGAAAGCAGGGGAUCUUCGGACCUUGCGCGAUUGAAUGAGCCGAUGUCGGAUUAGCUAGUUGGCGGGGUAAAGGCCCACCAAGGCGACGAUCCGUAGCUGGUCUGAGAGGAUGAUCAGCCACACUGGAACUGAGACACGGUCCAGACUCCUACGGGAGGCAGCAGUGGGGAAUAUUGGACAAUGGGCGCAAGCCUGAUCCAGCCAUACCGCGUGGGUGAAGAAGGCCUUCGGGUUGUAAAGCCCUUUUGUUGGGAAAGAAAAGCAGCAGGUUAAUACCCCGCUGUUCUGACGGUACCCAAAGAAUAAGCACCGGCUAACUUCGUG